GAUGAACGCUGGCGGCGUGCUUAAUACAUGCAAGUCGAACGGACAGACCCAAGCUUGCUUGGGUACUCGAGUGGCGCACGGGUGAGUAAAACGUGGGUGAUAUGCCCCGCACUUCGGGAUAAGCCUGGGAAACUGGGUAUAUUAUCGGAUAGGAUCUAUUCUUGCAGGUUGUGGUGGAAAGAUUUUUCGGUUUGGGAUGAGCUCGCGGCCUAUCCGCUUGUUGGUGGGGUAAUGGCAUACCAAGGCGUCGACGGGUAGCCGACCUGUGAGGGUGUACGGCGACAUUGGGACUGAGGGACGGCGCAGACGGCUACGGGAGGCAGCAGUGGAGAGCAUGGCGCAAUGAGGGCAAGCCAGAGGCAGCGGCGCCGCGUGGGUGAAGACGGCCUUCGGGUGGUAAACUACUUUCGCAAGGGACGAAGCGCAAGUGACGGUACCUAGAGAAGAAGCACCGGCUAACUACGUG
RNAcentral lists this ribosomal RNA (466 nucleotides) under uncultured bacterium. Its description in RNAcentral is "partial 16S ribosomal RNA". It matches the Rfam family "Bacterial small subunit ribosomal RNA", at positions 28 to 507 of the family's 1533-position model. The record is from RNAcentral.